RNAcentral lists this unclassified non-coding RNA (220 nucleotides) under Hevea brasiliensis (rubber tree). The record is from RNAcentral. Lineage: Eukaryota; Viridiplantae; Streptophyta; Magnoliopsida; Malpighiales; Euphorbiaceae.
UUUUACAUGAUGAAUCCUGAUGGGUCUGGAGGUCCUGAACUCAGUGUUUACUUGCUUAGAGUUUAAUUUUAUGGCCAUUAAGUGGGUAGCAUCAGCAAUCCAUCCACUUCAUUGGUGCUUUUGUUUAGUGCUUCUGAUCUCCUUUUUAGCAGUUUAGCCAAGGUUUUAAUCGGAAGAAAAGGUAAAGAGGGGUCACUUCACUUCACCAUGUGGCUUUUGU